UGAAGUGGAGCAAAUCUCAAAAAAUUAGUCUCAGUUCGGAUUGCAGGCUGCAACUCGCCUGCAUGAAGUCGGAAUUGCUAGUAAUCGCGGAUCAGCAUGCCGCGGUGAAUACGUUCUCGGGCCUUGUACACACCGCCCGUCACACCAUGGGAGUCGGUAACAACCCGAAGCCUGUGAGCUAACUUUUAGAGGCAGCAGUCGAAGGUAGAAUCAAUGAUUUGGGGUGAAGUCGUAACAAGGUAGC
This 244-nucleotide ribosomal RNA is filed under the name uncultured bacterium. RNAcentral describes it as "partial 16S ribosomal RNA". It matches the Rfam family "Bacterial small subunit ribosomal RNA", at positions 1258 to 1500 of the family's 1533-position model. The record is from RNAcentral.